AAACCAACUGGGAUUACCUUAGUAACGGCGAGUGAAGCGGUAAAAGCUCAAAUUUGAAAUCUGGUACUUUCAGUGCCCGAGUUGUAAUUUGUAGAAUUUGUCUUUGAUUAGGUCCUUGUCUAUGUUCCUUGGAACAGGACGUCAUCGAGGGUGAGAAUCCCGUUUGGCGAGGAUACCUUUUCUCUGUAAGACUUUUUCGAAGAGUCGAGUUGUUUGGAAAUGCAGCUCAAAGUGGGUGGUAAAUUCCAUCUAAAGCUAAAUAUUGGCGAGAGACCGAUAGCGAACAAGUACAGUGAUGGAAAGAUGAAAAGAACUUUGAAAAGAGAGUGAAAAAGUACGUGAAAUUGUUGAAAGGGAAGGGCAUUUGAUCAGACAUGGUGUUUUGUGCCCUCUGCUCCUUGUGGGUAGGGGAAUCUCGCAUUUCACUGGGCCAGCAUCAGUUUUUGGUGGCAGGAUAAAUCCAUAGGAAUGUAGCUUGCCUCGGUAAGUAUUAUAGCCUGUGGGAAUGCUGCC
This 513-nucleotide ribosomal RNA is filed under the name uncultured Hanseniaspora. RNAcentral describes it as "eukaryotic LSU rRNA". It matches the Rfam family "Eukaryotic large subunit ribosomal RNA", at positions 62 to 578 of the family's 3401-position model. The record is from RNAcentral. Lineage: Eukaryota; Fungi; Ascomycota; Saccharomycetes; Saccharomycodales; Saccharomycodaceae.